UGAGGAAUAUUGGUCAAUGGGCGAGAGCCUGAACCAGCCAAGUAGCGUGAAGGAUGACAGCCCUAUGGGUUUUAAACUUCUUUUAUAAGGGAAUAAAGUGCCCCACGUGUGGGGUUUUGUAUGUACCUUAUGAAUAAGCAUCGGCUAAUUCCGUGCC
RNAcentral lists this ribosomal RNA (157 nucleotides) under uncultured bacterium. RNAcentral's name for it is "partial 16S ribosomal RNA". It matches the Rfam family "Bacterial small subunit ribosomal RNA", at positions 355 to 509 of the family's 1533-position model. The record is from RNAcentral.